UGGGGAAUAUUGGACAAUGGGGGCAACCCUGAUCCAGCAAUGCCGCGUGUGUGAAGAAGGCCUGAGGGUUGUAAAGCACUUUCAGUGGGGAGGAGGAUUGACAGGUUAAGAGCUAGUUAAUUGGACGUUACCCACAGAAGAAGCACCGGCUAACUCCGUGCCAGCAGCCGCGGUAAUACGGAGGGUGCGAGCGUUAAUCGGAAUUACUGGGCGUAAAGGGUUCGUAGGUGGUUUAUUAAGUUAUCUGUGAAAUCCCUGGGCUUAACCUGGGCAGGUCAGAUAAGACUGGUAGACUCGAGUAUGGGAGAGGGUAGUGGAAUUUCCGGUGUAGCGGUGAAAUGCGUAGAGAUCGGAAGGAACACCAGUGGCGAAGGCGGCUACCUGGCCUAAUACUGACACUGAGGAACGAAAGCGUGGGGAGCAAACAGG
RNAcentral lists this ribosomal RNA (429 nucleotides) under uncultured bacterium. RNAcentral's name for it is "bacterial SSU rRNA". It matches the Rfam family "Bacterial small subunit ribosomal RNA", at positions 355 to 776 of the family's 1533-position model. The record is from RNAcentral.